AGAGUUUGAUCAUGGCUCAGAUUGAACGCUGGCGGCAUGCUUUACACAUGCAAGUCGAACGGCAGCACGGGGGCAACCCUGGUGGCGAGUGGCGAACGGGUGAGUAAUAUAUCGGAACGUACCCGGAAAUGGGGGAUAACGUAGCGAAAGUUACGCUAAUACCGCAUAUGCCCUAAGGGGGAAAGCGGGGGAUUCGCAAGAACCUCGCGUUUUCGGAGCGGCCGAUAUCGGAUUAGCUAGUAGGUGAGGUAAAGGCUCACCUAGGCGACGAUCCGUAGCUGGUCUGAGAGGACGACCAGCCACACUGGAACUGAGACACGGUCCAGACUCCUACGGGAGGCAGCAGUGGGGAAUUUUGGACAAUGGGCGCAAGCCUGAUCUAGCCAUGCCGCGUGAGUGAAGAAGGCCUUCGGGUUGUAAAGCUCUUUCAGCCGGAAAGAAAACGCACGGGUUAAUAACCUGUGUGGAUGACGGUACCGGAAGAAGAAGCACCGGCUAACUACGUG
Molecule: ribosomal RNA, 506 nt
Filed under: uncultured bacterium
Lineage: Bacteria
Description: bacterial SSU rRNA
Rfam family: Bacterial small subunit ribosomal RNA
Source: RNAcentral